Nothoprocta perdicaria is the source of this 479-nucleotide long non-coding RNA. RefSeq lists it as uncharacterized. The transcript is spliced from 2 exons. Lineage: Eukaryota; Metazoa; Chordata; Aves; Tinamiformes; Tinamidae. The record is from RefSeq and is a predicted model, not a curated record.
UAGUGAUUGGGAAAUGGUGGUGCGAGAUGGAGCCCUGCCUAGAGGGAGAGGAGUGCAAAACAUUGCCCGAUAAUUCUGGAUGGAUGUGUGCAACYGGCAAUAAAAUCAAGACUACCAGAAUCCAUCCGAGAACCUAACAGAGAACUGCCUGCGUGGAUACAGCGAGAGCCCGGCUGGCACACAAGGACAUGCAAGCGGAGGUGGGAAAGCCUCGCAGUAUCUCCAAGCCAAAUGGAUUUAUUUGCACUCUGAAUGGCGACUAGAUAACAACAGUGGCUUUACUGUGUGAAGAACGUAUUCUGUGGAAAUAACGUCCCCAAUUUUUGAUGUCUGAAAAGCAAAGAAAAAUGGUUCUUGGGUAAAGUUUCCAAGAUUCUGAAGUAUCAGACAACAGUAUUAAAUAUGGAUCUACAAUUUACUUUUUACCAUUUAAAGUAUAUAUUAAUAUAUAUUAAUACAUGAUAUUUUGAAAUAAAAGC